UGUGUCGCAGAGCCCUUUUACU
RNAcentral lists this unclassified non-coding RNA (22 nucleotides) under Mus musculus (house mouse). RNAcentral describes it as "oocyte_clustered_small_RNA3372". The record is from RNAcentral. Lineage: Eukaryota; Metazoa; Chordata; Mammalia; Rodentia; Muridae.